This 1144-nucleotide long non-coding RNA is filed under the name Cyanistes caeruleus (blue tit). Its description in RNAcentral is "lncRNA (ENSCCEG00000005716.1)". The record is from RNAcentral. Lineage: Eukaryota; Metazoa; Chordata; Aves; Passeriformes; Paridae.
AUCAGGGCCCCUCAGUUGAUUUCAGCCUACAAGAAUAUUGACAGCACUGCUGCAUCACCUUCAUUCCUUCAAACUGAUGUUAAAUAAAGUGGAUGAUGAGAGGCAGAAUGAGAAAGUGAGAGAAAGAAGAAUCAAUUCAGUUAAUUAAUGGAUGACAAAUUAAAGCUCUGCAGGAAGAGACAUGGACCUGGGCAAGAGAAGACACUAGCAAAACCUCCUGGAGCUGUUGUUGGUUUGCUGGGAGAGAUGAGCACAGGUGACAGAGAGGAGCCUCCAAAGAUGAUGUACCCCCUAAAGUUUCAUGAAGACAGUUGUGCUGUGUUAAAGAAAGUCUUACCAUUCCAGCCUGUGACUGAAUACCCAAGUAUGAUUUCAAUCCCAGAGAAGAAGCCAGAUAUUACAGACAGAUGUUAAGGAGUGGCCACCCACAGAAGUAUUUUUUCUUCUUCUAUCCUUAAUUUUCAUUCACAUGUCCUUCUUAUCUAGAUUUUGAGUCCCAUGAGACACCUGACUGUUGUUUUAUCUUUAGACCACAGCAUUGCUGGGAACCUCAGUCUGCCCAGAUCUUCCCUGUGAUGAAUCUCAUAACCAAACUAUGUUCACCUCACCCAAGAAGUAAGAGUAAAAUUUCACUAAAAAAUAACAUUAUUUAUAGAAAACACAGCACAAGAAACAAACACACCAAAACCUUGGGGUGACAAACAGAAUUUUAAGUAUUCAUGAGUGAGACUGUAUCCCAAAUUCAUUUCACAGAUGUGGCAAUUGUGUCCAAAUAAUUUAGCACACCUUGAAAGCCUGGUGACCUGCCUGCUCCAUGACUUCAUCCACAGUGCUCAGUGUUGUGCUAUUGUAAAAACUGUGUGAAAAUCAAAAUGAUAAGUCUGUCCCUACAAGAAUUAAACAGCCAUCCUUGGAGGUAAUUGAAGAGCUGGUGUGGGCAUUCUGCAUAGCCUUCACAGAUCUAGGAAAUGGGUUAGUGCUAUAGUGUUGUAAGGAUGAUUUUGAAAAACAAAACAGAUUAAUUGAAAGAUAAGGAAGUGAUAGAUUAAGAAGAGAAAUUCACCCUUAUAAUAAUUUUAUUAUUUUCCUGUUCAUUAGGUACAAAUUUGAACACUGACUAAUAAAUCAUACUGCUGUUAAGCCA